Long non-coding RNA from Oncorhynchus keta (chum salmon), 581 nucleotides. RefSeq lists it as uncharacterized. Lineage: Eukaryota; Metazoa; Chordata; Actinopteri; Salmoniformes; Salmonidae. The record is from RefSeq and is a predicted model, not a curated record. The transcript has 3 exons.
AGUGAAAUGCUGAAUACAACAGGUGUAGUAGACCUUACAGUGAAAUGCUGAAUACAAAAGGUGUAGGUAGACCUUACAGUGAAAUGCUGAAUACAACAGGUGUAGUAGACCUUACAGUGAAAUGCUGAAUACAACAGGUGUAGUAGACCUUACAGUGAAAUGCUGAAUACAACAGGUGUAGUAGACCUUACAGUGAAAUGCUGAAUACAACAGGUGUAGUAGACCUUACAGUGAAAUGCUGAAUACAACAGGUGGAGUAGACCUUACAGUGAAAUGCUGAAUACAACAGGUGUAGUAGACCUUACAGUGAAAUGCUGAAUACAACAGGUGUAGUAGACCUUACAGUGAAAUGCUGAAUACAACAGGUGUAGGUAGACCUUACAGUGAAAUUCUGAAUACAACAGGUGUAGUAGACCUUACAGUGAAAUGCUGAAUACAACAGGUGUAGGUAGACCUCACAGUGAAAUGCUGAAUACAACAGGUGUAGUAGACCGUACAGUGAAAUGCUGAAUACAACAGGUGUAGUAGACCUUACAGUGAAAUGCUGAAUACAACAGGUGGAGGUAGACUUUACAGUGAAA